UACGUAGGUGGCUAGCGUUGUCCGGAUUUACUGGGCGUAAAGAGCGCGCAGGCGGUCGUUCAAGUCGCGUGUGAAAGCCCCCGGCUCAACUGGGGAGGGUCACGCGAUACUGAUCGACUCGAAGGCAGGAGAGGGUAGUGGAAUUCCCGGUGUAGUGGUGAAAUGCGCAGAUAUCGGGAGGAACACCAAUGGCGAAGGCAGCUCGCUGGGACGGUACUGACGCUGAGACGCGAAAGCGUGGGGAGCAAACAGG
This 253-nucleotide ribosomal RNA is filed under the name uncultured bacterium. RNAcentral's name for it is "partial 16S ribosomal RNA". It matches the Rfam family "Bacterial small subunit ribosomal RNA", at positions 524 to 776 of the family's 1533-position model. The record is from RNAcentral.